Molecule: long non-coding RNA, 341 nt
Organism: Rhincodon typus (whale shark)
Lineage: Eukaryota; Metazoa; Chordata; Chondrichthyes; Orectolobiformes; Rhincodontidae
Exons: 3
Source: RefSeq, a predicted model, not a curated record
GGUUGCCAUAGCGUCCACCCACCCGGUUGCCAUGUGAUCAGCCAUUUGCGGACCGGAAGUGCCCAGCCGCGCGCUCUUGGACCAGUUCCUGUCAGUUAGGAGAAGAUGGCGGCUGUGGAAAGUGAUCGCUGUGUUUGGCGCCGCGGCCACUCGCACACUCACUGUUAAAGCCUUAUUCGCAUGUUUAGCUUUCGAAUUUCUCACUGUUGCACUUUACAUUAAUGAGAGGAUUGGAGGCUAACGCUACCAAAGAAGCUCAAGAUAAACUAAGCAGGGAUAGAGUGCAAGAAAAGGAAGAACAGUUGAUGGAAGAAAGGAAAAAAAGAAAAGACGAUAAGAAG